Non-coding RNA from Trichobilharzia regenti, 49 nucleotides. Lineage: Eukaryota; Metazoa; Platyhelminthes; Trematoda; Strigeidida; Schistosomatidae. The record is from Rfam.
GUACUGCUGAAGAGUCCCAAACCAGGCUGACGAAACAGCUGUCCAGUAC